This is a long non-coding RNA of Gasterosteus aculeatus aculeatus (three-spined stickleback), 856 nucleotides long. The record is from Ensembl. NCBI's taxonomy places the organism in Eukaryota, Metazoa, Chordata, Actinopteri, Perciformes, Gasterosteidae.
CGUAGAUCAAACAUCCGCGAGCAAAUCUCCGUCUCGCGUGAGCAAAAGACCGUCUCGCGCGAGAUAUUUGCUCGCUCGCGAAACGUGAACUUCCUCGCUCGCGAGGUUAAUCUCUGCUCGCUCGAAGGAGUUUUCUACGCGCUUGCUGUUUUUCUUUUUGACAGUAAGGGGGCGGAGCCAGUCACCAUAGUCUCUACACCUGAUUGGUUACAAACCCCGUCUUUGGUCUGGCUGGAGUAAUGCAUUCACACAACUAUAGAAGCCCAUUUCUGCACUAAUGUAAGGGGAUAGAAAGUUGAAAUUAUGAAAUUAUGAGAUAACACGUUGUCAAAAAACACACGCCCCCCUUUGGUAAUCGUAGUGGACUGUAGAUGACAACCAGCUACAACCACAAUUUACCAUCAUUACAGGCACAUUAAGAGCGAGGGAGCAAAUAUCUCGCGCGGGACGGACUUUUGCUCGCGCGAGACAGACUUUUGCUUGCGCGGAGACGGAGAUUUGCUCGCGGAUGUUUGAUUUACCCGCGCGCAUCAACCUGAUUUGCGCUCUUGAAUUUUGACAGUGAUUUGCCGCCAUGGGGGUGUAUUCAUAUUCAGUGAACUGCGAACAGGUGCGUGUGUCAGAAGGGAGCGCGAGAUUCAGUGAAUUACGAACAGGGCUUCGGCAACGAAAACAGACCUGCUGGCCCUGCUUAUCCUGCUCUUGAUUGCCUACUCUAUUGAAGGAACACACCAGAAGGUGACUGAAUACUGUAAUUAUUUCCCAUAGUACAUCAUAACUAUAUUUCCAGGGCUGUUGAGAGCCACCAGCUAAACUCAGGCACUCCAGCAGCACCCGCACUACUAAGGUUGGAAAC